CCUGUGCAUCGCUUCGUCGCUGCCCGCCGCAAGGCGGGGAGAGGAAAGUCCGGGCAGCGCAGGGCACCGUGCUUCCUAACGGGAAGGGGGCGUGGCGGGAACGCCACGUUCACGGAAAGUGCCACAGAAAGGGAGACCGCCGAACCGCAGCGAUGCGGUGGCAAGGAUGAAAAGGUGGGGUAAGAGCCCACCAGUUCCGGUGGUGACAUCGGAAGCUUGGUAAACCCCACGGGCUGAAAGACCAAAUAGGCCGGGGUCCGGCCGGGCCACCCUGCAAGGGGCCCCGGUCGGUAAGGGCGGCCCGUCCGAUCCCGGCGGGUAGGUCGAUGGAGGUCCAUCGCGAGGUGGACCCUGGAUAGAUGACGAGGGCCCCGCUCCGGUGGGGAACAGAACCCGGCUUACAGAUGCACAGGCCUU
Molecule: RNase P RNA, 417 nt
Filed under: Flavobacteriales bacterium
Lineage: Bacteria; Pseudomonadati; Bacteroidota; Flavobacteriia; Flavobacteriales
Description: RNase P RNA component class A
Rfam family: Bacterial RNase P class A
About the family: Ribonuclease P (RNase P) is a ubiquitous endoribonuclease, found in archaea, bacteria and eukarya as well as chloroplasts and mitochondria.
Source: RNAcentral